RNAcentral lists this ribosomal RNA (385 nucleotides) under uncultured bacterium. Its description in RNAcentral is "bacterial SSU rRNA". It matches the Rfam family "Bacterial small subunit ribosomal RNA", at positions 28 to 416 of the family's 1533-position model. The record is from RNAcentral.
GACGAACGCUGGCGGCGUGCUUAACACAUGCAAGUCGAGCGGUAAGGCCCUUCGGGGUACACGAGCGGCGAACGGGUGAGUAACACGUGGGUGACCUGCCUCUAGCUCUGGGAUAAGCCUGGGAAACUGGGUCUAAUACCGGAUAUGACUCCACGGCGCAUGUUGUGGGGUGGAAAGCCUUGUGUGGCUAGAGAUGGGCCCGCGGCCUAUCAGCUUGUUGGUGGGGUGAUGGCCUACCAAGGCGACGACGGGUAGCCGGCCUGAGAGGGCGACCGGCCACACUGGGACUGAGACACGGCCCAGACUCCUACGGGAGGCAGCAGUGGGGAAUCUUGCGCAAUGGGCGAAAGCCUGACGCAGCGACGCCGCGUGAGGGAUGACGGCC